CUCAGGACGAACGCUGGCGGCGUGCCUAAUACAUGCAAGUCGAGCGGACAGAAGGGAGCUUGCUCCCGGAUGUUAGCGGCGGACGGGUGAGUAACACGUGGGUAACCUGCCUGUAAGACUGGGAUAACUCCGGGAAACCGGAGCUAAUACCGGAUAGUUCCUUGAACCGCAUGGUUCAAGGAUGAAAGACGGUUUCGGCUGUCACUUACAGAUGGACCCGCGGCGCAUUAGCUAGUUGGUGAGGUAACGGCUCACCAAGGCGACGAUGCGUAGCCGACCUGAGAGGGUGAUCGGCCACACUGGGACUGAGACACGGCCCAGACUCCUACGGGAGGCAGCAGUAGGGAAUCUUCCGCAAUGGACGAAAGUCUGACGGAGCAACGCCGCGUGAGUGAUGAAGGUUUUCGGAUCGUAAAGCUCUGUUGUUAGGGAAGAACAAGUGCAAGAGUAACUGCUUGCACCUUGACGGUACCUAACCAGAAAGCCACGGCUAACUACGUGCCAGCAGCCGCGGUAAUACGUAGGUGGCAAGCGUUGUCCGGAAUUAUUGGGCGUAAAGGGCUCGCAGGCGGUUUCUUAAGUCUGAUGUGAAAGCCCCCGGCUCAACCGGGGAGGGUCAUUGGAAACUGGGAAACUUGAGUGCAGAAGAGGAGAGUGGAAUUCCACGUGUAGCGGUGAAAUGCGUAGAGAUGUGGAGGAACACCAGUGGCGAAGGCGACUCUCUGGUCUGUAACUGACGCUGAGGAGCGAAAGCGUGGGGAGCGAACAGGAUUAGAUACCCUGGUAGUCCACGCCGUAAACGAUGAGUGCUAAGUGUUAGGGGGUUUCCGCCCCUUAGUGCUGCAGCUAACGCAUUAAGCACUCCGCCUGGGGAGUACGGUCGCAAGACUGAAACUCAAAGGAAUUGACGGGGGCCCGCACAAGCGGUGGAGCAUGUGGUUUAAUUCGAAGCAACGCGAAGAACCUUACCAGGUCUUGACAUCCUCUGACAACCCUAGAGAUAGGGCUUUCCCUUCGGGGACAGAGUGACAGGUGGUGCAUGGUUGUCGUCAGCUCGUGUCGUGAGAUGUUGGGUUAAGUCCCGCAACGAGCGCAACCCUUGAUCUUAGUUGCCAGCAUUCAGUUGGGCACUCUAAGGUGACUGCCGGUGACAAACCGGAGGAAGGUGGGGAUGACGUCAAAUCA
Molecule: ribosomal RNA, 1185 nt
Filed under: Bacillus sp. (in: firmicutes)
Lineage: Bacteria; Bacillati; Bacillota; Bacilli; Caryophanales; Bacillaceae
Description: bacterial SSU rRNA
Rfam family: Bacterial small subunit ribosomal RNA
Source: RNAcentral